AUACGUAGGGGGCGAGCGUUGUCCGGAUUUACUGGGUGUAAAGGGCGUGUAGGCGGGUCUGCAAGUCAGAUGUGAAAUCUCCGGGCUUAACUCGGAAGUGUCAUCUGAAACUACGGAUCUUGAGUACUGGAGAGGAUAGUGGAAUUCCUAGUGUAGCGGUAAAAUGCGUAGAUAUCAGGAGGAACACCAGUGGCGAAGGCGGCUAUCUGGACAGUAACUGACGCUGAGGCGCGAAAGCGUGGGGAGC
This 247-nucleotide ribosomal RNA is filed under the name uncultured bacterium. Its description in RNAcentral is "partial 16S ribosomal RNA". It matches the Rfam family "Bacterial small subunit ribosomal RNA", at positions 523 to 769 of the family's 1533-position model. The record is from RNAcentral.